This 809-nucleotide ribosomal RNA is filed under the name uncultured bacterium. RNAcentral describes it as "bacterial SSU rRNA". It matches the Rfam family "Bacterial small subunit ribosomal RNA", at positions 8 to 796 of the family's 1533-position model. The record is from RNAcentral.
AGAGUUUGAUCAUGGCUCAGAAUCAACGCUGGCGGCGUGCCUAACACAUGCAAGUCGAACGCGAAAGUCCCGCAAGGGAUUAGUAGAGUGGCAAACGGGUGAGUAACACGUGGGUGACCUGCCUUCGAGUGGGGGAUAACGUCCCGAAAGGGACGCUAAUACCGCAUGAUAUCCUGCCUUUGAAGAGGUGGAGCUUAAAGCCGGGGAUCGCAAGACCUGGCGCUUGAAGAGGGGCCCGCGCCUGAUUAGCUAGUUGGUGAGGUAACGGCUCACCAAGGCAUCGAUCAGUAUCCGGCCUGAGAGGGCGGACGGACACACUGGGACUGAGACACGGCCCAGACUCCUACGGGAGGCAGCAGUGGGGAAUUGUUCGCAAUGGGCGCAAGCCUGACGACGCAACGCCGCGUGGAGGAUGAAGAUCUUCGGGUCGUAAACUCCUUUCGAUCGAGACGAACGGCUUCCGGGUGAACAAUCCGGGAGAGUGACGGUACCGAGAGAAGAAGCCCCGGCUAACUCCGUGCCAGCAGCCGCGGUAAUACGGGGGGGGCAAGCGUUGUUCGGAAUUACUGGGCGUAAAGGGCUCGUAGGCGGCCAACUAAGUCAUACGUGAAAUCCCUCGGCUUAACCGGGGAACUGCGUCUGAUACUGGAUGGCUUGAGAUUGGGAGAGGGAUGCGGAAUUCCAGGUGUAGCGGUGAAAUGCGUAGAUAUCUGGAGGAACACCGGUGGCGAAGGCGGCAUCCUGGACCAACACUGACGCUGAGGAGCGAAAGCCAGGGGAGCAAACGGGAUUAGAUACCCCGGUAGUCC